RNAcentral lists this ribosomal RNA (117 nucleotides) under candidate division Zixibacteria bacterium SM23_73_3. The record is from RNAcentral. Lineage: Bacteria; Pseudomonadati; Candidatus Zixiibacteriota.
UCCGGCGGCCUUAGCGAGAGGGAAACACCUGUUCCCAUUCCGAACACAGAAGUUAAGCCUCUCUGCGUCGAUGGUACUGCCUGGGUGACUGGGUGGGAGAGUAGAACGCUGCCGGGA